CUCAUACUUAACAUCAUUGAUGAAGCAAUCCAUGGAUCCGGUAAGGGUGUCAAGUACCUCGUUCCUCAGUGCAGUCACUUUCACCGCCAUCUGCGCCUCCAUAUCCCUCUGCUUCUUCACUUUGGCAUCCAACUGACGUGCUCGUUCGUCGCUGAUAAGUUGGAAGGCCCUCUUGAGCACUGGCCGCAGCGACUCGUUGUCCGUGAUCCCCUCAACUGCCGAGGCAAGGCUGGGGUACAGGCCCUGCAGCUCCUCGAUCCCUCUGCGUGCCCGUGUGCCCGGAGCCGCAUUGGCAUUGGCAUUGCCAUUGCCAUUACCACUGGCGUUGGUGGCGUGGCUGGCGCCUACUUUCUUGAGCGGCAGGUCGCCCCAAAUCGACCUCGACAGCUCGUACUUGCGCGCCUCAUCGCCGUCACCAGCCCCACCUGCAGCUGCAGGCACCGGCACGCCCCCGGCGGAGCGCCGGUUCGCGUACUUGGUCCGGAGCCGCCGCACCUUCUCGUAGAUCUCCGUGACGGUGAACUCGGACUUGUCCAGGCCGCAGCCGCCGAGCGCGGCGUGGAGCUGGGACCGGCGCGGUUCUGCGCCGUGGGCCGCGGCGUACGCCGCGAGGCCCUCGAGGAUGCGAACUUCGUCCGCCUCCGACCACACCCGCCCGAACGCGAACGCAGGCUUCUUGCCGCCGUUGGUCCCCGGCUGGGACGCCGCGCAUGGCACCACAGCCCCGGCCGCGGCGGCAGCCGUGUCCGAGGUGUGGAAAUCGUCAGCAGCGAGAGAAUGCGGGGCGCUCGUCGGCGGCGGCGGCAUCGUUGGAGUCGACAAGAUUUGGGGGUUUGGGGUUUCUCUCCGCGAUGGUCUCUGAGCGGGGAGGAGGUAAAGGGUUUUAUCUAUUUUUAUUUUCACUUUUUCCACGGCCAAUAUAUCAAACACAUUAUCGUAAAGUGCUUUUAUGUUGCUACACCAACCAGGAUAUAUAUGUUCUACUAGAUAGGAUAGAUGUGAAUCUAGAUUUAGAGCCACAACCAUAGUCUCCAUUUAUGUACUAUUUUAGCUUUUCUAGUAUUUAAAUGUGAAAUGUGAAGAGCAUAGGAAGGUGAAAACUAGUGUAACUAACUUUUAAACAUGAACCUAGGAAUGCCAAUUUUGCAUAUUAUGAAAACUAAAUACAUAAGAAAUAAUUUUUUUGGUCAGCUUGAGUACAGUUUUAGAUCGUUUGUGUAAAAAAUAACUAGAAAAAAGAAAGACCUAAAUUGAAUGAAGGCGCCCACGAGCUAGAUGCAGCCAAUGGUCCACCAAAUAGGGUUAUGUGAGGCCAGCGCUAUGUGGCGGUAAAGCUUCACCCUGGGCCCUUCCACUGACUUUGUGCCCGCAUGCCUACUAGCCUGACAGUACUUGUUGGUGGCCUUUUCUGUUCGGAGUUCCUCAAAACAUUAAUUUGACAAUAGUCUCUAGAUCUGUUUCAGAUAUAACAGGACAAAUUAGUGAGGGAUAUUUUUAUCUGGAGGAAUGUGCGGCCGACAAUCAUGCAAGCACAAAGACAAAACAUCAAGCUUCAUCCGUGCAAUAUGAACAUAUCAACAAAGGAAGGAGAUGAAAUAUUUAAGGCUUGCUCAACACAACUAUGAUGGAAAUGUCGAUAACGCCCUUAAUUGAUUUUGUAGUUCAUGUGUAUAGGACUGAGGGGCAUGAAUGUAAUUUUUAUAAAGUUGUACUUGUUGGUCACUUUUCUCGAUUGCUAUAUGGAAU
This 1746-nucleotide unclassified non-coding RNA is filed under the name Zea mays. Its description in RNAcentral is "misc RNA Zm00001eb418640". Lineage: Eukaryota; Viridiplantae; Streptophyta; Magnoliopsida; Poales; Poaceae. The record is from RNAcentral.